UACGUAGGGUGCAAGCGUUAAUCGGAAUUACUGGGCGUAAAGCGUGCGCAGGCGGUUAUUCAAGACAGAUGUGAAAUCCCCGGGCUUAACCUGGGAACCGCAUUUGUGACUGCAUAGCUGGAGUACGGCAGAGGGGGAUGGAAUUCCGCGUGUAGCAGUGAAAUGCGUAGAUAUGCGGAGGAACACCGAUGGCGAAGGCAGUCCCCUGGGCCUGUACUGACGCUCAUGCACGAAAGCGUGGGGAGCAAACAGG
Molecule: ribosomal RNA, 253 nt
Filed under: uncultured bacterium
Lineage: Bacteria
Description: partial 16S ribosomal RNA
Rfam family: Bacterial small subunit ribosomal RNA
Source: RNAcentral